This 536-nucleotide ribosomal RNA is filed under the name Metschnikowia sp. 11-1090. RNAcentral describes it as "eukaryotic LSU rRNA". It matches the Rfam family "Eukaryotic large subunit ribosomal RNA", at positions 37 to 659 of the family's 3401-position model. Lineage: Eukaryota; Fungi; Ascomycota; Pichiomycetes; Serinales; Metschnikowiaceae. The record is from RNAcentral.
UGCAUWWYCMAAAAGCGGAGGAAAAGAAACCAACAGGGAUUGCCUCAGUAACGGCGAGUGAAGCGGCAAAAGCUCAAAUUUGAAAUCCCCCGGGAAUUGUAAUUUGAAGAGAUUUGGGUCCGGCCGGCGGGGGUUAAGUCCACUGGAAAGUGGCGCCACAGAGGGUGACAGCCCCGUGAACCCCCUCAACGCCUUUAUCCCAGGUCUCCAAGAGUCGAGUUGUUUGGGAAUGCAGCUCUAAGUGGGUGGUAAAUUCCAUCUAAAGCUAAAUACCGGCGAGAGACCGAUAGCGAACAAGUACAGUGAUGGAAAGAUGAAAAGCACUUUGAAAAGAGAGUGAAAAAGUACGUGAAAUUGUUGAAAGGGAAGGGCUUGCAAGCAGACACUUAACUGGGCCAGCAUCGGGGCGGCGGGGAGCAAAACCACUGGGGAAUGUACCUUUCGAGGAUUAUAACCCCGGUCCUUACUCCCUCACCAUCCCGAGGCCUGCAAUCUAAGGAUGCUGGCGUAAUGGUUGCAAGUCGCCCGUCUUGAAA